UACGGGGGGGGCAAGCGUUGUUCGGAAUUACUGGGCGUAAAGGGCCAGUAGGCGGCCAACUAAGUCGGAUGUGAAAUCCCUCGGCUCAACCAAGGAAGUGCAUCCGAAACUGCUGAGCUUGAGUACUUAAGAGGAUCGCGGAAUUCCCGGUGUAGAGGUGAAAUUCGUAGAUAUCGGGAGGAACACCAGUGGCGAAGGCGGCGAUCUGGGAAGAUACUGACGCUGAGGUGCGAAAGCGUGGGGAGCAAACAGG
This 253-nucleotide ribosomal RNA is filed under the name uncultured bacterium. RNAcentral describes it as "partial 16S ribosomal RNA". It matches the Rfam family "Bacterial small subunit ribosomal RNA", at positions 524 to 776 of the family's 1533-position model. The record is from RNAcentral.